CCCCCCCAGGUGAUCUCACCACCUCGGCGCAGCGCUCGGGCAAAGGUCUCACCGCCGUGAGCUUCGAGGGCGCCGAGCGGUCCCUGGCCGCGGCCGCGAGCCGGGAGACGCCGAGCAGCGACUCCUCCAGCCUGGACUCCCUCAACAGCGGCUCCUUCGGGGCGGACGCCCUGACCGGCGCAGCCCACGGCGGUGCCGAGCGCGACCUGGACUCGGAGGAGGCCCUGGCGUCCCAAGGGAUAUGAGACGGCCGAGCCCCACCGGAGACGCCACCCCGGACCCCGCUGCUUCCCGCUGGCUCCCCGUGGCCCCCCCCGGCGCCCCCCAGCCCCGGGGCCGGAGUGGGCUGGACCCCUCCGUGCGCCCCCGGGGCUGGGCCGGGGGGCUGGGGGCUCCCCUGUACCCGCGGCCCCUCGACCCCCAAUAAAGGUCCCUGCAGCAGCCGCCUGGUGUCGUGGCCGGAUCCGGGGGGGGGGACGCGGCCGGGCACCGGCACUGCCAGCCAGCGCGCGGGAGCCCAUCCCYGUGGCCUCCCGGCGCGGGACUCCGGCUCCACCGCAGUUUCCCCUCCUGCAGCGGCACCCGGCUUUGCCAGCCCCGGGACGCCAAAAGCCGGCGAUCGGGAGGAAAUUUGGGGGGGRAAAAGGAAAAAACCCGCCGAGGGCUGUUCGGCCCCGAGUCCCACGAAAGCUUUUGGGCCUCCGCGUUUCCCAGGUCCCUGCGCCGACCCGGAGCCCCCGGGCGUCUCCAUCCGGCCCCGCUGCCCCCGGAGUCGAGCACCCUGCGCUGGGGGGUUCUCCAAGCGCUUUGCAGCAUCCGAGAGCCUGGACGCCAUGGGCAUCCCCCCCGCCCCGUCCCGGCAGCGUUUGCCCAUCGCGGCUCCGGCCGGGAAACGGGAGCCGCUCGCGAUGGGGGAUCCCAGCCCYGGGCAGCUCCCGGCGGUGCCACUGCCUUCGCUGGGCUCCUGCCGCGGUCCCGGGCGCUUCCAGGCCCCGCGGGAGGCUGCUCCAUGGGAAAUCCCMGCGGGAAGGUCGCGGAGCCCCCCGGCCGCGAUGCCGCGUUUCAGACGCCCGAGUGCGGCGGCGUUAUUGUACUUUCCGGCCAGGAAGAUGCGGGCUCCUCUCCCGCAUCCCGCUCCGGCGGGCGUCGCGCAUCCCGCUGCCGGGCGCUUCGGGUGGCCCCCACACCAGACCCCCUCUCCCGGCUCCCACCCACCACCCUCCCCUCCGCAGGGCACCUCCGGCUCCGGCUCCGGCUCUGGCGGAUAGACCCCGCUCUGGGAGAAGGGCACGGGGUGGGCGACCUUGGAAAACCAACCGAAGGGAGACCGAAGCGCCCCAGCGCAGCUCUCCGGCCCCCGGGGGAGGGAGGCUGCCAGCGGCUCCCCAGGCAGAGCCGGGCUGA
Molecule: long non-coding RNA, 1404 nt
Filed under: Dromaius novaehollandiae (emu)
Lineage: Eukaryota; Metazoa; Chordata; Aves; Casuariiformes; Dromaiidae
Description: lncRNA (ENSDNVG00000017421.1)
Source: RNAcentral